This 254-nucleotide ribosomal RNA is filed under the name uncultured bacterium. RNAcentral describes it as "partial 16S ribosomal RNA". It matches the Rfam family "Bacterial small subunit ribosomal RNA", at positions 524 to 776 of the family's 1533-position model. The record is from RNAcentral.
UACGUAGGUGGCAAGCGUUGUCCGGAAUUAUUGGGCGUAAAGCGCGCGCAGGCGGUCCUUUUAAGUCUGAUGUGAAAGCCCACGGCUCAACCGUGGAGGGUCAUUGGAAACUGGGGGACUUGAGUACAGAAGAGAAGAGUGGAAUUCCACGUGUAGCGGUGAAAUGCGUAGAGAUGUGGAGGAACACCAGUGGCGAAGGCGACUCUUUGGUCUGUAACUGACGCUGAGGCGCGAAGGCGUGGGGAGCAAACAGG